This 2679-nucleotide unclassified non-coding RNA is filed under the name Hevea brasiliensis (rubber tree). The record is from RNAcentral. Lineage: Eukaryota; Viridiplantae; Streptophyta; Magnoliopsida; Malpighiales; Euphorbiaceae.
GGAGACUCGUCGGCACUUUCCUUCCAAUGCGACCAAAAACCAGAUAAAUCCUCCUGUCGUGCCUUCCAAUCCUUCACUCCCUUUCUUUUGCUUGUCUAAAAAUUCCGUUUGGCAGAAGUUGCCGACAUCUCUGUUUGGUGUUCAUUGAGGCCCUCUUCUCAGUUUUUCUCUUUGCAUCACUAUCUUCACCAGGUUGGUUAGAUCUACACUUCUUUUUAUAGCCCAUUUUUUUUUACAGUUUUUCGAUACCUGUUUCGUUCUGUAUUGUUCAGCUCUUGAUUUUCUGAAUUCUAGCUGAAAUUUAAAUUGGAUCUUUGCUUAUACACUCGUUUCGUGAUCUGGGUCUUCCAGAUCUGGCACUAUUCGCCACAGAAAUCCAAAAUGGACCAUUUUUCUAAUUUUAAGAUCUGGGUCUUGACCCUUAGCUUGAUUUUCCAAUCUGUAUAUGGGUUUUACCUUCCGGGUAGCUACCCCCACAAAUACAACGUCGGUGAAGCUUUAUCAGUGAAAGUGAAUUCCAUUACUUCUAUUGAUACCGAGAUGCCAUUUAGCUAUUACAGUCUACCCUUUUGCCAGCCUGCAGAGGGUAUCAAGGAUAGUGCUGAAAAUCUCGGUGAGCUCCUUAUGGGAGAUAGGAUUGAGAAUUCCCCAUAUAGGUUUAAGAUGCAUGUGAAUGAGAGUGAGAUCUUUUUGUGUCGAGCUGACCCCUUAUCUACUGAGAACUUUAAGCUUUUGAAGAAGAGGAUUGAUGAGAUGUAUCAGGUUAACUUGAUUCUUGAUAAUUUGCCGGCAAUAAGGUAUACUAAGAAGGAGGCAUACUUGUUGAGGUGGACAGGAUAUCCUGUUGGAAUUAAGGUUCAGGAUGCCUAUUAUGUUUUUAACCAUUUGAAGUUUAAAGUUCUUGUUCAUAAGUAUGAGGAGGCCAAUAUGGCACGUGUGAUGGGGACUGGAGAUGCUGCCGAGGUCAUUCCAACAAUUGGGAAUGGAGGAUCUGAUAUUCCUGGGUACAUGGUUGUGGGAUUUGAAGUAGUUCCUUGCAACUUCAUGCAUAAUGUUCAGUCCGUGAAGAACUCGAAAAUGUAUGGCAAAUACCCAUCUCCAAUUAAGUGCGAUCCAACCACUGUGGCUAUGCCAAUUAGGGAGAAUGAGCCAAUUGUUUUUACCUAUGAGGUCACCUUUGAGGAGAGUGAUAUAAAGUGGCCAUCGAGAUGGGAUGCCUAUUUGAGGAUGGAGGGGUCAAAGGUCCAUUGGUUCUCGAUCAUGAAUUCUCUGAUGGUUAUCACCUUCCUUGCUGGUAUUGUACUUGUCAUUUUCUUGAGGACUGUGAGGAGAGAUCUGACCCGUUAUGAGGAACUUGACAAGGAGGCUCAAGCACAGAUGAACGAGGAGUUAUCUGGGUGGAAACUUGUUGUGGGUGAUGUUUUCCGUGCCCCAACCAAUGCCUCACUUCUAUGUGUUAUGGUUGGAGAUGGAGUUCAGAUCCUUGGGAUGGCGGUUGUGACAAUCUUGUUUGCUGCUCUUGGAUUCAUGUCACCAGCUUCCCGUGGAACUCUCAUUACAGGUAUGCUUAUAUUCUACAUGAUUCUCGGUAUUGCAGCUGGCUAUGUAGCAGUUCGCCUUUGGAGGACUAUUGGAUGUGGCGAUCACAAAGGAUGGGUUUCAGUUUCCUGGAGGGCUGCCUGCUUUUUCCCUGGUAUUGCCUUUUUUAUCUUAACGAUUUUGAAUUUCCUACUGUGGGGUAGUCAUAGCACAGGUGCCAUUCCAAUCUCUUUGUUUGUCGUUCUGAUUCUGCUCUGGUUCUGCAUCUCUGUUCCCCUUACUCUUAUUGGGGGAUACUUUGGGGCAAAGGCACCCCAUAUUGAAUACCCAGUUCGAACCAACCAGAUUCCUAGGGAAAUACCAGCUCAAAAGUACCCAUCUUGGCUUCUCGUUCUUGGUGCCGGAACUCUUCCCUUUGGUACACUUUUCAUUGAGCUCUUCUUUAUCAUGUCUAGCAUCUGGAUGGGCCGUGUUUAUUAUGUUUUUGGGUUUCUCUUGAUUGUUUUUAUCCUUCUCGUGGUGGUUUGUGCCGAAGUGUCUCUUGUUUUAACUUACAUGCAUCUCUGCGUUGAGGACUGGAAAUGGUGGUGGAAGUCCUUCUUUGCUUCUGGUUCAGUGGCCAUCUACAUUUUCUUAUACUCCAUUAACUAUCUGGUAUUUGAUCUCAAGAGUUUAAGUGGGCCAAUCUCUGCAACGCUAUACCUUGGUUAUUCUCUUCUAAUGGUUCUAGCAAUUAUGUUUGCAACGGGAACAGUUGGAUUCCUUUCAUCGUUCUGGUUUGUGCACUACUUGUUCUCUUCAGUGAAGCUUGAUUGAACUGUAAAGAAGUUUCUUCGACCAAAAAAUUGGCACUUAUGGAGAGUAGCGUUAUAACUGGGGCAGAAAUGAUCGUUGCCCAUUACAAUAGUCUAUCUGGUUUUACUUUUGAGUUCACUUUCCUAGGGAGCUUACCAAAAUGUAAUAACAAUAAUGUCAACCUGUUUUUGCACUAUUCUUUUAUUAGAUGGGUGAUCUUGGCUUUGAUAGUAUGAAUGUGAUAUUAAAAAUUAAUUUUAGUUGGUGGGAUUUCUGGUAUUUUAUUUCUGUGCUAUAGUUUUGUAUGGGUUUCUCUUACUUUUAUUUUGAAUAAUGGAUGUUGGC